Molecule: long non-coding RNA, 1271 nt
Organism: Saccostrea cuccullata (small rock oyster)
Lineage: Eukaryota; Metazoa; Mollusca; Bivalvia; Ostreida; Ostreidae
Exons: 4
Source: RefSeq, a predicted model, not a curated record
GUUUACUUUGAUGAUUUUCCUACUGUGAAGCUUUCCUUGUAUAAAGCUCAAUUUUUCCAUGACCACGGAAGUAAACAUCCUGAUGCAUUCUUGUCAUGUGAAUGUUGAGAGCGUGUUCAUUUUUGAAAUCUCCUUUCUGACAGACAUAUUCUACAGGUAAGUUUGUCUUAUUUUUGUUUACAUUUCCUAUAUGAAGGUCAUCUUUGUAUUUAACCAUGAUUAUGUAAAGUUCUGUUUUGAAUGUAAAUACUAUAUUUAUCCUCAUUUCAUGUGAUUUACAGUUGUUUAGCCUGCAUGUAACUCAGAGUGCAUUUAAUAAUUCUAUGAUGGGUCAUUCUAUGAUUGAAUUUCAAUCAGAAAAAUGUUCACUAAAUUUUGGUAAAAUACAUGGUAUCUUUUACAUUUCUAUCCCUUUUGUCUGUAAAUUACUUUGCUUUACUUACAUUGUUAAAUGAGGUUAAUUGUGUAUCACUGAAUUGUAUGAUUUUUUUCAGGAUCAGCUGAGAUGUAAUCAAUCACUGGAUUAUUUAAUGGAUAGGCUUAUUGGGCAUAUAUUUGGAUAUCUCUGUCAUCAACAUGGAAUGUAUGACUUCAUCUUUUAUACAGUCGGGUUCGGGGUUUCGGGCGGCCAUGACGAAUUUCGGCAAGAUUUUACCCCAGUGAAAAAGGCUUGUAAUCCACAGUUCCUCAACCUGGAAGAUAUGUUUUGUUCCUAACCAUCUAUAAUCCAUUCUCUAUGAAGUGAAGCCUGGCUGCUCUUCCUUUGGAAAUACACAGUUAGUCAAUCAACAUAGAAACACACAAACUUGAAGGAUAUUCUAGUGAGGGCUUAUGGAAAUGAUCUAUGUCUACUCUCAGAAUGGUGAAAGACUAUCAGAUUAUGCAAAGACUAACAGGAUAUCCUCUCUUGGAACACUGAAACAAGAAAAUCAAACAGGAGGUGGAUGGAGGAUUUAAGAAGCAUGGUGAAAGACUAUCAGAUUAUGCAAAGACUAACAGAAUAUCCUCUCUUAAAACACUGAAACAAGAAAAUCAAACAGGAUGGAGAAUUUAAGAAGCACAUAGAUAAAUAUGAUUUCCAACCAAUUUAAGUACGAUCAUAGACUGUGCUUUACAGGAUGACAAAGAAAGGACCCAGGAUAGUAUCUUUUACUGUCAGACACUGACUAUGGAUAAGAUGUAGCCAUUUAUCAAACUGAGAUCUAGUCAAAUCAAGUAUUGAAAAUAUGAUUUUCUGAUAGCAUGAAUUUAUUCUCACCAACUUCAAAGUA